This 505-nucleotide ribosomal RNA is filed under the name bacterium enrichment culture clone ALO1_GLFRUDD03HIAR1. Its description in RNAcentral is "bacterial SSU rRNA". It matches the Rfam family "Bacterial small subunit ribosomal RNA", at positions 9 to 509 of the family's 1533-position model. The record is from RNAcentral.
GAGUUUGAUCGUGGCUCAGAUUGAACGCUGGCGGCAGGCCUAACACAUGCAAGUCGAGCGGAUGACGGGAGCUUGCUCCUUGAUUCAGCGGCGGACGGGUGAGUAAUGCCUAGGAAUCUGCCUGGUAGUGGGGGACAACGUUUCGAAAGGAACGCUAAUACCGCAUACGUCCUACGGGAGAAAGCAGGGGACCUUCGGGCCUUGCGCUAUCAGAUGAGCCUAGGUCGGAUUAGCUAGUUGGUGGGGUAAUGGCUCACCAAGGCGACGAUCCGUAACUGGUCUGAGAGGAUGAUCAGUCACACUGGAACUGAGACACGGUACAGACUCCUACGGGAGGCAGCAGUGGGGAAUAUUGGACAAUGGGCGAAAGCCUGAUCCAGCCAUGCCGCGUGUGUGAAGAAGGUCUUCGGAUUGUAAAGCACUUUAAGUUGGGAGGAAGGGCAGUAAGUUAAUACCUUGCUGUUUUGACGUUACCGACAGAAUAAGCACCGGCUAACUCUGUGCC